Molecule: RNA transcript, 6409 nt
Organism: Sceloporus undulatus (fence lizard)
Lineage: Eukaryota; Metazoa; Chordata; Lepidosauria; Squamata; Phrynosomatidae
Gene: ARHGEF26
Gene name: Rho guanine nucleotide exchange factor 26
Exons: 15
Source: RefSeq, a predicted model, not a curated record
GACAGACUGCACUCCUGAUGUUCAGUUGACUUUAGCUCUUGGUAUGGAUGGUAAAAAUGAAGUGGAUUUUUCCAAUAACAACAUCGCACCGUUGUGGAGGAGAAGGUCUGCUCACCAAGUCCAUUUGCAUACAAAGAACAAGCCUAGGCCCCAGUCCUACCAGAGUUCCACUGGAGUCCUCUUCACAGAUUUUCCUGUAGAAGAUAGAGACACGUUCACUUUAACUCAGCCUGCUGAAACAAUAAUUACUUCUCCGGACAGUACACCCAUUCAAAGGAGUCCUCUACCUUUUGGCUGCAGCCUUGGCUCUGUGCCAAAUGGCAAGGUUCAAUUUCCAGAAUGUAAAACUUUCUCCCCAAGGCAUUGUGAGCAAUCACCUCAAGCAUUGAAAAUGGUUUCAAAUAAGUCUAUACCUUUUACAGCCAAUGGUUCAGCAGGCAGUAAGCUGGUUAACCGAGGGAGGGUUUGCAAUCAAACAGCACAGACUCCAGAACAGACUGAAACUGCUUUUACAUCAAGUCUUGGAUUGUCACUUACAGAAGUCAUGUAUUCACCAAAUAACAACACAAUGGCUGCAUUAGUGUUACAACCUAGCCAACUUUCUAAAAACUCAGAGAAGACAUCUGCCUGCCUACCUGCUCCCUUGGAACAACAGCAUCUGCCUCUCCAAAGAAUACCAUCAAAUCAGAAUGAGAUCAUAGAAACACCACCUGUUGUGCUGAGUACAAAUAGUCCUGUUGCUUUAAAAGUGGGGAAGCAGCAGAUCAUCCCUAAGAGUUUAGCUUCUGAAAUAAAAAUAACCAGCAAAGCCAAUAAUCAAAAUGUGGAACCGAGCAAAAGGGUUCUGAAGGUCCGUAGUAUGGUGGAGGCCCUUGGUGUGCCUUUGGUAGCUGGUGGAGAUGAAGAGACAGAAGGUGAUGUGGAAAGCCCAGGGAUGCUGAGACGUAGUUUGCGGUCCACUUCAUACCGGCGAGCUGUUGUGAGUGGAGUUGAUUUUGAUAGUACUGCCAACUUUAAAAUGAAAAACAGGAUGUCUCAGCCAGUGCUGAAGGCAGUUGUAGAAGACAAGGAGAAAUUCUCCAGUUUAGGAAGAAUAAAGAAGAAAAUGCUGAAAGGACAAGGGACCUUUGAUGGAGAAGAAAAUGCUGUGUUAUAUCAGAACUACAAGGAAAAAGCUCUGGAUAUAGAUUCUGAUGAAGAGUUAGAAUUGAAAGAACAUAAGUCAAAUGAGAAGAUCAUUAUUGAAUAUAAACCUCUGAGAUCAACAUGGAGUCAGUUGUCUGCAGUGAAGAGAAAUGGCUUAUCCCAGACCAUCAGCCAAGAAGAAAGAAAAAGGCAAGAGGCUAUAUUUGAAGUAAUAUCUUCAGAACAUUCAUACUUACUUAGUCUGGAGAUUCUGAUUCGGAUGUUUAAAAACUCUAAGGAAUUAGCUUCUACGAUGACAAAGACAGAAAGCCAUCACCUCUUUUCCAAUAUUGUGGAUGUCUGUGAAGCAAGUAAGAAGUUCUUUAGAGAGCUUGAAGCAAGACAUCAGAACAAUAUAUUCAUAGAUGACAUCAGUGAUAUUGUAGAAAAACAUACUACAUCAACCUUUGAUCCUUAUGUGAAGUAUUGUACAAAUGAAGUCUACCAACAGCGAACACUCCAGAAAUUACUAACUACUAAUCCAGGCUUCAAGGAAGUGCUGUCGCGGAUUGAGUCCCAAGAAGCAUGUAAGAAUUUACCUAUGAUUUCUUUCCUUAUUCUCCCAAUGCAAAGGGUUACACGACUUCCACUGCUGAUGGAUACUAUUUGCCAGAAAACACCCAAAGACUCACCAAAAUAUGAAGUUUGCAAACGAGCUUUAAAAGAAGUUAGCAAGUUGGUUCGCCUCUGCAAUGAAGGUGCUCGAAAAAUGGAAAGGACUGAAAUGAUGUACACUAUCAACUCCCAGCUGGAAUUCAAAAUCAAGCCAUUUCCGUUGGUUUCCUCUUCUCGAUGGCUAGUGAAGCGUGGUGAAUUAACAGCCUAUGUGGAAGACACAGGACUUUUCUCUAAAAGAACCUCUAAGCAACAAGUUUACUUCUUCCUCUUUAAUGAUGUGCUCAUUAUCACAAAAAAGAAAAGUGAAGAGAGCUACAAUGUCACAGACUAUUCCUUAAGGGAUCAGCUGUUAGUUGAACAGUGCGACAGCGAAGAACUACAUUCCUCUCCUAUAAAAAACAGCACACCUAUUCUUUACUCUCGGCAGAGUUCUGCAAAUCAUCUCUUCAGAUUAAAUGUCCUAAGUAACCAUGCAGGAGAGAAGAUUGAACUACUGCUGGGAACUGAAACUCAGAAUGAACGGGCUCGCUGGAUUACUGCACUUGGGCAGAGCAAUGAUAGACUGACUAUGGAUAGGACAACGCUGACCCAAGUAGAAGUCAUCAGAUCAUAUACUUCCAAGCAGUCAGAUGAACUCUCCCUUCAAGUAGCUGACGUAGUUCUCGUCUAUCAGAAAGUGAAUGAUGGUUGGUAUGAAGGAGAGCGAUUGCGCGAUGGAGAAAGAGGCUGGUUCCCAAGGGAAUGUGCCAAGGAGAUCACCUGUCAAGCCACCAUUGAGAAGAAUAUGGAAAGGAUGGGACGCUUGCUAGGCUUGGAAACAAAUGUAUAGACUCGUGCUCCAUUAUGCAUACUCUAGGGAUUUGCACCCAGUGAAGUCUGCAACAUCUUGAUCUCCUCCAGAUGGUGAAUUACAGAGAAUCAGUGGGGAAAACAGAACCAUGAGAAUCAAAGGAAUACCACCCUAAAGAGUCACAGCCUCUGAAGAAAGUGUGUGUAUGGGGUGGUGGUUGUGGACAGCAAUGAGGGACAGUAAAGAAUCAACACCAAGGUGUAUUUAAAAGGAAGUAAACAAAGAUUAACUCACACUACUGGUCCGCAUUUUCAAAUGGUAAACAAGCCAGCUGUAAUGGAAUUCUGUCUCCUCAACGUUCACAGAUUUGGGAUGAAUGUUAACUGUUCGAUCUGUUUUAGUGGAUACUUUAACCCUUAAAAUAUAGAGAAGUGUCAGAAUUCAGGUACAAGUAAAUUAGAUACAGAAGAGGUGAAAGAUGUAAGCUUGUCUUGAACUCAUUGGGGUUCCAUGGGUGCUAUUUCCCUCCACUUCCUUCCCACAUCCUCCAAUGCUACUCUGGGUUUUGUGGGGGCAAUGUCCUGAACUGCACAGAAACUUCACAUGGAUGGACAGAAAGUUGCCAGCCCCCUCUCUUCUGCCAGUGGGAAGUUUCCAAUAGAUGAAGGCUCCAUAAACAUAAGCCGCCUUCUGUUUACAGAGGAGCAAAGUCUAGAUCUAAUCUAGAACAUGUUGCUGCAAUCCAUGUGUUAAAAGCCAUCCUCUAAAUUAGAUAUUACACGUGAAAGAACAAAAUACAAAUGAAAGACAUAUUUUAAACAGUUUCUUUCAAAGUUCCCAAAUGCAAACCAAUAGCAACAAAAUGAUUUUGUGAAGAUGUCCAUUAGAAAACACUUUUGAACUCUCUUGUACACACACAUUUGAUUUUCCUUUUUGCUUGAAAUGAGGAAAAUAAUAAUGGCAAUCCCAACAAUGCAAUGGAGAUAAUAUUGGACUAUGUUACCUAUACAGUUGGCUCCCCACUUUUGCGGAUUUAACAUUCAUAGACUUGAUUAUUUGUGGGUUUGUCCAGGGCAUGGCUGGGAAGACCAAGCACAUGCUCCUCCUCCUCUUCCUCCCAGGUUUUUCCCCUCAGGGAAAAAGCCCAGGAGGGAGGGAGCAGCCAGGAAGGGUGCAUGCAUACCCCUCCCGCCUUCCCCCAUGUUUUGAACAGCUGACGGAAGCCAGCCAAAGCACGGGGAAAGAUGGGAGUGGUGUGUGUGCAUGAGGGGUAAGAGGAGCACAUACACAUGCCCCUCCCACCUUCCCUCACAUAUUCAUGUUUUUUUCCACUUUUGCAGGGGUCUUGCGCCUUUAAACCCUGUGAAUGUGGAGCGCAGACUGUAUAAGCAUAUUAUCCGUUAUUCAGAUUUUUGUUUAGAAAUUUAGUGCACUUUCAACAGAGGAAAACAAUACAAAGCAUAAUGAAAAGCUAUUUUCUUCCAUUAUGCUUACUUUUAUUCAACACCAUCCAGAUAAAAUAUAGUUAGUGUUAUUUUUUAUUAACCCUCCAUCAGGUAAUAUACAGGUAUCUUCUGAUUGUGGAAAGGGAAGAACAGAAGCUUUUCUGCAGCUCCCUCUGCUGGCAAAAGGAUACUACUGCAACUGCUCAAUUAAAAAGUCUAUUUUAUUUGUACCUAUCUGAAGACCCAAUCAUUUUCAAUCAUGAUAGAAAUGACUUACAAUGGCUUUCAAAAAUAUUAUAUUAGAUUUUUUUUAAUGAUAAAGGACCAGACCAUGUCCUUGGAGUGGUUUCUGAUUGCUCUGGAGUGUGUAUUAUUUGAAUCCUAUUCCGCCACAGUGGUCAGAAGCCAUUUUAUUUGGCCCAUGUAUUUCAGGCCCAAGACUAUCUUUUUUGCCUCACAAAUGCUUUUCUACUGAACUGAAACUUUUUGAACUUAAUUUUCUUUCCUCAACCAUCUCAAAUGGUCUUUGCACAAACUAAAUUUCAGCAGGUAAGCUCACUCAAACAUUUGCUUCUGACAAUAGUCAGUACACAAUAUACUGAAAACUAUUUGCUGCAUUUUCAUAUUUUGUGACCUGUACAUUAUAUCAUAACACCAAAAUCUCCAUAUAUUCUCAGUAAAGAAUCUGAGCAUAAAUUAUCAAAAGCCUUACAUUUUCCUCUUUUUGUUGAAGUUUGCUCGAAUUUUUGCAACCUUUGGAUACAAGCCAGCACAGAUAACAGCUUUCAAUACCUUCUCAUUGUCUGGAAAAGAAGACAGAAUUCACUGAAGGAGUGAAGUGCAGCAGAAUUAAUAAUUGGAGAACUGAGUAGACCUACUUCAUUGCUCCUUUUUUCAGAAUUUACCUGAGUUAAUGUUGGAUUUGGGAUCUCUGGGACUUCUGCUAUUUACAAACCCAGCUGCAAGAAGAUGCUCAGCAAACUGCCCUUUCAUGUUACUAAGCAUCUAAAAGAACAAAACAAAUUCACCAAUAAGAUCUUACAGCUCUGUCCAAAAAGUUUCAAAAACACAAUUUUUAAAAAACCAGAGACAAAAUAUUACCUGCAAAGUAUUUGGAGAAAGAAAAUACUCCCAGCAAUAAUCCUUCUCACACCUGAAGCCACGUCGUCGAGCUUCUUCCCAACCCUGAAAACACAGUAUGUUUAGUAUUAAUCCAGUUAAAUAAUAUAAAGUCCUUUAUUACAUUUCUUUUAUUCCAUUAUAUGGAAAAGAGUAAGCUCCAUAUUGAUGUAAAAUUUCUGGGAAUUUUGAAACCAUUUUGGGAAGGGAGAACAAUUUUUUCUCCUAGAAAAGGAAACUUUCAGAAAACUCAGGGGGAAAGCAUGGUAUUUGUGUACUUGACAGAUUGAGUUGCUUUUAGAAACAUAAGAUGUAUCAUAUACCUAAUGAUUCUAUUACACAAUUGUAUUUAGCAUGAAAUUGUGUUUGGUGUAUUAAACUACUGAACUUUUAUUCAAUCUGUUAGUAGUAACAAAGUGAAUUCAUUUUUUAAAAAUGUUUGUUUUGUACAUGCUGCAAAGUCCUAAACUGAAAGGAACGUCUUUGGUUUGUUCACUUUAUUAAAAACAUGACUCCUCUUUUCAAACACACACACAAAAUAUAGAAGAAACUAUCAACAUAAAACAGAGAAAAUCAUUUCAUCUCUUCUAGUCUUCUAUAAUGUCAAGGAGACAUAAACAAUUUAUCUGCAUAAACAGAAACAAAAGAAACCAAGAAGAGCAAGUGCAAUUUUCAGAUACUUUAAGAUGUGCCCUGUCUUAAAUAAGACUUUUUGUUAUACAGCUUUCAGAAACAAUUUUAGGAAAGCAAAUAUAUAUGAACACCUCGUUUAACAAUUGAUUAAUCAUUCCAAAAGAAAAUAUUCUAAAGUCAAUUUUCCUUUCUUUCAAUUUUUCCAGAAAGCAGGCUUUGGGAAAUAUUACAUAUAUAAAAAAUGGGGCAGAGGGGUUCUGAAUUAUACUAUCCCCUGCCUGCCUCUCAGGCUUUCACAUCUCUAAAGUUCCACAAUGGCAAAAUCAAUUGUAGCACUGAAAAACAAAGAGAGUCACUAGACAAAUUUAAAGUUGGAAGAGACACAUAUACAAAAUGAAAUCAGUAAUUAUUUAGGGCAAAUCACAGUAGAAAUUGGCAUAAUAAUUCUUGGAAUAUAAAAAUAAACUAUUUAUAGAAAAGAACUAUUAAGUUCAUCUCCAUUAGUAAAACAAGAAGAGACUGAACUAAUAAUCAUCCUCAAGAAUUCAUCUGUAUACAGUAGACCCUUGUUAUAUGCUGGGGUUUGGUUCCAAGAUUCUCUGUAGAUAACAAAAUCCGU